CUGUGGACCUUGUUCGACACCUUGCUUGAAAGGAUCACCAACAACACGUCUCUUGGCACGCGCCUUUGCUUUCUCUAUAAACUCAUCAUAUACAAGCUCGUGUACAUAUGUACGAGAUCCAGCACAGCAACAUUGGCCCUGUAGAUAAUAAGCACACACCUAAAAGAUGCUUUCACAGGCAUCAUAUUCAGACUGUCUUGUGGGUAAAUUUGCAUACGAACCUGAUUGAAGAACAAAGCAAAGUGUGCAAGCUCCACAGCCUUAUCAACGUCAGCAUCCUCACAAACUAUGAAAGGUGAUUUCCCUCCAAGCUCUAGUGUAACUGGUUUAAGAUUACUUCUUGCAGCCAAUUCUAGUACAAUCUUACCAGUAUCAGUUGAUCCUGUGAAAGCAAUCUGCGCAGGAAGUGGUGACAUCAUUAAUUGCUGGCAGUCCACAAGUAUGCCCAAAGACAAACUUGAUUCUGGAGUCCAUAUUGUCUUAAAAUAUACAGCUUCAGAAAUGUUUCAAUAAAUUGCAGUCUUCUACUUCGACUAGGUAAAGACAAUUGGUGAGGCCGAAAUUGAAAUUGGGUUCCAAAAAUACACGGUUCCCUCUGUUAAGUUGCUUUAUCGGGUAUAAACUCAUCCAUCUUUGAUAUUUAUCACUUCAAAAGAACGCAGACUAGGAAUCUAAAAAUGCAAAGAUGAAAUGUAAUUGGCUUCUACAGAAAUUGAAUUUGUUCUUAAAAGUUGAAACAAUAUGAAGUAAUUGUACGUUUUCCAGGAGAAACAUUAAUGAAAACAGAAAUUGAAUUCGAGGCACCAUGAAGGACAGAACAUUACAAGUUCAGAAGUAUGGUGUUAGAUCAAUGUAAAUUGAGCAUAGAACAGAUAACCAUAAAAUAGAUUCAAAUUCUCCAGAAAGCUAACAAAAAUAUGAACAGGAAAUAAAACUUAGUAAAAUACCUUGUCAACAUCCAUGUGGCUGGCAAGAGCUGCACCAGCAGUUGGACCAUAGCCUGAAACUACGUUCAAAACACCUGGAGGAAGACCAGCCUUACAUGAAGGAUGCAAAUUAGAUUUCAAGAUAAUGGAAUAUAAGUGCAAUUAUUACCAUUUUAACUAUAGUAUUAAGCUGUCAAUAGAAGAAUUGGACAACUGAUUUAACCAUUUUGUUUCUCAUACUAUCGGUGCAUAAUGAUGUAUUCUCUGACUAGAAGACUGUAGAUGACAUUGGACAAGGGUAGGGUACAUGUGUUGAGCGAUUGGAUAAACCAAAAUGACUUAAGCCAAUUGAUUUGGCUUACCCUUGCUAUAUUUUGUCUUGCUUUUUUACACUUGCUAUAUUUAUUACUAAUGUUGGACGUCCACCAGGCUUCACUUAAGAGGAAGCAUCCAAGUAGAUCACAAAUAACCUCACUGUUGUUCAAUAUAUAAUUUUCAUGCCUUUGGAAUAUUAUCAUGUUCUGCAUUUAUAUUUUUUACUCUCGGUCCAAAAAAAAUUCAGCGCACAUAAUUUUUCAAAUCCUACCUCAUGGAAAAGCUUUGCCGCAUAAAGAGCAGUCAGAGGAGUCUGUUCAGCUGUCUUGAGUACAAUAGUAUUACCACAGGCUAAUGCAGGACCAACUUUCCAAGCAAACAUGAUAAGAGGAAAGUUCCAUGGAAUUAUCUGCCCUGCUACUCCAAUCGGUUCGUGCAAUACUUGAACAUGGUGAUUACUGUCUCCUGGAACUGUUAGCCCAUGGAUCUUAUCUGCCCAACCAGCAUAGUAGUGAAACAGGCGAGACAGCAUUGGUAACUCAGAUUUAGCAGACUGUUCAUAAGGCUUCCCAUUAUUCCAUGUCUCUAAAGCUGCUAGUUCAUCAUUGUGCUUCUCAACCAAAUCAGCAAAACGCAAGAGAAUCCGCGAUCUUUCGUAAGGGGUCAUCUUUGGCCAUGGUCCCUCAUCAAAUGCUUUGCGAGCAGCAGCUACCGCCCUAUUUAUAUCUUCAGCAUCACCUUCAGCUACAUGGGCAAUCACUUCUUCUGUGCGGGGAUCAUAUGCCGGAAAUGUUCUCCCAGAUGCUGCAUCAACAAAUUGCCCAUUGAUUAGAUGUUGGGUGUAGACUGCUUGAACAGGUGGGGUGAUCGGUUUCUCAACUGCUGCGGCAGUGCUAAAUCUGUAGAUGCUUCUUCCCCUGCUACGAUUUCUUCCUAGAGAGAGAAGCAAAGAAGCAGCACCAGAAGAAGAGGAGAGCGAACGGGCUAUCAAGGAAGAUGUCCUGCGAGCUGCCAUGGCCUGUGUCCAAGAAGGUCUG
This 2278-nucleotide unclassified non-coding RNA is filed under the name Hevea brasiliensis (rubber tree). Lineage: Eukaryota; Viridiplantae; Streptophyta; Magnoliopsida; Malpighiales; Euphorbiaceae. The record is from RNAcentral.